RNAcentral lists this ribosomal RNA (376 nucleotides) under uncultured bacterium. RNAcentral's name for it is "bacterial SSU rRNA". It matches the Rfam family "Bacterial small subunit ribosomal RNA", at positions 523 to 898 of the family's 1533-position model. The record is from RNAcentral.
AUACGUAGGGAGCAAGCGUUGUCCGGAUUUACUGGGUGUAAAGGGUGCGUAGGCGGCCCUGCAAGUCAGGCGUGAAAGGCGGAGGCUUAACCUCCGAGCUGCGUUUGAAACUGUGGGGCUUGAGUGGAGCAGAGGCAGGCGGAAUUCCCGGUGUAGCGGUGAAAUGCGUAGAGAUCGGGAGGAACACCAGUGGCGAAGGCGGCCUGCUGGGCUUUAACUGACGCUGAGGCACGAAAGCAUGGGUAGCAAACAGGAUUAGAUACCCUGGUAGUCCAUGCCGUAAACGAUGAUUACUAGGUGUGGGGGGUCUGACCCCUUCCGUGCCGGAGUUAACACAAUAAGUAAUCCACCUGGGAAGUACGACCGCAAGGUUGAA